GCGUGUCCCGGCCCGUGUCAGUCUCGCUGCUGCUCGCAGGCGCGUGGCCGCUGCAGUGGCGACACCGCCCCCCUCCCCCCCCCAGCGCCGCGCGGAGGCCCCCGGACACCGGCCCCGCCACGGGACAGCCACAGCUUGGCUGAGAAUGUGCUGCUGCCUGCGUAACCAACAACUUCCCACCUCAGAGACUGACUCAGGUUUUUAUCCAGCGCCACUCUGGACUAUUGAGUGAAGACACAGCAUCAGUAGUACAACAGGUUCUCUAGAACUGCUGCUGAAUUAAUCAUUCCACACUUAUUAAAAUUUUAGUCCCUGCUUCUGAUGAUUAUGGAGUUCAAGUUUUGCAUUUGUCUCAUCUGUGAACACUGUGUUGCAUGCUAUUUCUAAUACUGCUGCAGCUCAGUCUUUCAUCUAAUGCAGUUAAUGAGGAAAACCAAAUAAAAACUCUGAUGAUUUCUGUCAAGGAAACUUAAAGCAUCUGAUUCAAGACUUUUCAAACAUUUAUGUUGUUCUGGGCAUGGUAGCUACUGUGCUUCUAUCUAAAUCCCAGUAAGCUUGUACUCACCUAGAACGGGCACCCAGCAGGAUGCCAAAUGGACCCAUGAAAUUCCAUGCCCUAUUGCUGCCCUCCUUUUCAGGGCAAAGGGAUAGUUUGGGGAUUGUGACGACUAUGGUUUACACUACAGCAUAGAAUACACCUUCUUAGAUCAAAUGUAAGCAUUGAUGUGAGCGUUUCCCGCAACUUUCAAACAAAGUGGGUGAAUUUCCUGGA
Molecule: long non-coding RNA, 772 nt
Organism: Mauremys mutica (yellowpond turtle)
Lineage: Eukaryota; Metazoa; Chordata; Testudines; Geoemydidae
Exons: 2
Source: RefSeq, a predicted model, not a curated record